This 497-nucleotide ribosomal RNA is filed under the name uncultured bacterium. RNAcentral's name for it is "partial 16S ribosomal RNA". It matches the Rfam family "Bacterial small subunit ribosomal RNA", at positions 28 to 507 of the family's 1533-position model. The record is from RNAcentral.
GAUGAACGCUGGCGGCGUGCCUAAUACAUGCAAGUCGAGCGAACGGACGAGAAGCUUGCUUCUCUGAUGUUAGCGGCGGACGGGUGAGUAACACGUGGAUAACCUACCUAUAAGACUGGGAUAACUUCGGGAAACCGGAGCUAAUACCGGAUAAUAUUUUGAACCGCAUGGUUCAAAAGUGAAAGACGGUCUUGCUGUCACUUAUAGAUGGAUCCGCGCUGCAUUAGCUAGUUGGUAAGGUAACGGCUUACCAAGGCAACGAUGCAUAGCCGACCUGAGAGGGAGAUCGGCCACACUGGAACUGAGACACGCUCCAGACUCCUACGGGAGGCAGCAGUAGGGAAUCUCCCGCAAUGGGCGAAAGCCUGACGGAGCAACGCCGCGUGAGUGAUGAAGGUCUUCGGAUCGUAAAACUCUGUUAUUAGGGAAGAACAUAUGUGUAAGUAACUGUGCACAUCUUGACGGUACCUAAUCAGAAAGCCACGGCUAACUACGUG